ACAGAGGUGGCAAGCGUUGUUCGGAUUUACUGGGCGUACAGGGAGCGUAGGCGGUUGGGUAAGCCCUUCGUGAAAUCUCCGGGCCUAACCCGGAAAGUGCGGAGGGGACUGCUCGGCUAGAGGAUGGGAGAGGAGCGCGGAAUUCCAGGUGUAGCGGUGAAAUGCGUAGAUAUCUGGAGGAACACCGGUGGCGAAGGCGGCAUCCUGGACCGGCAUUGACGCUGAGGCGCGAAAGCCAGGGGAGCAAACGGGA
Molecule: ribosomal RNA, 253 nt
Filed under: uncultured prokaryote
Description: partial 16S ribosomal RNA
Rfam family: Bacterial small subunit ribosomal RNA
Source: RNAcentral